RNAcentral lists this long non-coding RNA (1655 nucleotides) under Helianthus annuus (common sunflower). RNAcentral's name for it is "hypothetical non coding rna". Lineage: Eukaryota; Viridiplantae; Streptophyta; Magnoliopsida; Asterales; Asteraceae. The record is from RNAcentral.
GUUACGAGAAGUUACUUGCAGUUUAUUAAGAUGGACCAAUAAAAAUGCAUUAUGAGAACGUGGGUCCAACAAAAGUGCAAGUUAUAAUUUGACGGUUAAAAAAGUCUUCCUUAUUUUUAGCAAGUUAGUGGGGUAGUGGACAAUGUAACUGUCCAAUAUGAUGGCUAUAUAGGAAGAAUGAGGUACCACAAAAAUCUGUCUUCUUUUCACAUUUAACCCAUUCGAACAACACCACAUUUGCAGCCAUUGAUGACAUUGAUGCCUUCUACCACCUAUCCUAAGCAGCUGAUUAUGCGAAGUCAAGUACCAACGCAGCCAUACCCAAGAAGGAACAAUUCUACAGCCUAUUCAAAGAUAACAGGAAGCUGAGUAAGAAUGCAAUGACAACCAACAAGGAGCAAUACCCUAGCCAAUUCAAAAAUUAUCAGAAGCUAUGGAUGACUACUACCUAUUCAAAAUAGUUAACUAUGCAAUGAAGGGUACCAACAAAACAACAGGCAAGAAGAAGCAAUUUUAUGGCUCAUUCCAUAACACACAUAUUAUCAAUUUAAACAUGAUGUGAUUGUUUAAUCCGUUUUCUAAAUUUCUUAAUUACAGUUGGGUUAAAAUGCCAUGACAACCAACAAAGAGGAAUUUCGUAGCCCAAUCAAAGAUUCCCAGAAGGUAUUUUUUUUUUUUACUAUCAUGGUUUAAGUGUUUAAUAUGUUUUCUAAUUUUCCCUAAAUUUUUAUUAUUUAAUCUGACAAUGAAAACAUGGAGAUUAUUUCAUAUGGUCAAUUUUUCAGUCCCUGCAAAUCUGAUAUGCACAGGAAGGUAAGAGUUUUAUAACAACUGGCAAUUGCACAAUAAUAUCAUACAGGGGUGUGAAUUUUUGACACGACCUGAAAAUACGACACGAACCAAAUACGAAAUUCACGGGUUCGGGGCAGUUUCAGGUUGAGCCCGCUUAGCUAAACGGGUCAGGUUCGGGUCAACCUGGUCGGGUUGACCCGUUUAACCCAUUUAUAUUAAAAUUAUAUUUUUACAAUAUGUUUUAUAUCAUAAAUAUAAUUAGGUGUGUAACUUUAUGUCAUAAUUAUAACUUAAAAAGGGAAAUUGACAUAAGAUUUUAUGAUUUUAAUGUAAUCAUAUUAUAUAAAUUUGUGUGUUUUUUUGUAGUAGAUGUUAAUUUUAAUAUAUUAAUUUGCUGAAAAUUUUUUUGGGUUGAAUGGGUCGAGUUCGGGUCAGCCUGAGAAUAUUCAGGCCGGGUUCGGGUUCAUAUGUAUGACACAUUUUUUGCCUUCGGGUCGGGUCGUUCAAAUUUUUCGGGUUCGGGUCGGGUUGAACCCAUCAACCCGCGAACACAACCUGUUUAGCACCCCUAAUAUCAUAUGGUCUAAUUUUUAAGUCAUUGUCACACAUAUAUAUAUAUAUAUAUGUAAUUACAUUAUAAAAUGUAUUUUUCUAUUUUCAGUUGUAGAAGCUUGAAAAGCAAUAGAUAGAAAACAUGUCUUUUAAAUUGGAAAUAGGAUGAAGUCAUUGACAUAUAUGCAUUUCAACUGUAAAUCAACAACAAUAUGAAUCUAAUGUAUCAAAUCUGAGCAUAAAACCGAGCAUUGAAUUCUCUACAGCAAUAAAUUGUACUUUAGAAUCAUACUUAUGAGAAACCUUCAUAC